ACGGGGUGUUAGGGCACGACACCGGAGAGGGAGCCUGAGAAACGGCUACCACAUCCAAGGAAGGCAGCAGGCGCGCAAAUUACCCAAUCCCGACAUGGGGAGGUAGUGACAAUAAAUAACAAUACAGGGUUCUUUUGGAUCUUGUAAUUGGAAUGAGUACAAUUUAAAUCUCUUAACGAGGAACAAUUGGAGGGCAAGUCUGGUGCCAGCAGCCGCGGUAAUUCCAGCUCCAAUAGCGUAUAUUAAAGUUGUUGCAGUUAAAAAGCUCGUAGUUGAACUUCGGGAUCAAUUAGUUGGUCAUGCCUCGGUAUGUACUGAUUUUAUUGGUUCUCACCUUCUAAAGAACUAUAAUGUCAUUUAUUUGAUGUUAUAGGGAAUUAGGACUGUUACCUUGAAAAAAUUAGAGUGUUUAAAGCAGGCUCACGCUUGAAUACAUUAGCAUGGAAUAAUGAAAUAGGACAUCGCAUUCUAUUUUGUUGGUUUCUAGGAUCGAUGUAAUGAUUAAUAGGGAUAGUUGGGGGCAUUAGUAUUCAAUUGUCAGAGGUGAAAUUCUUGGAUUUAUUGAAGACUAACUACUGCGAAAGCAUUUGCCAAGGAUGUUUUCAUUAAUCAAGAACGAAAGUUAGGGGAUCGAAGACGAUCAGAUACCGUCGUAGUCUUAACCAUAAACUAUGCCGACUAGGGAUCGGAUGAUGUUGAUUUUUUAAUGACUCAUUCGGCACCUUACGGGA
RNAcentral lists this ribosomal RNA (731 nucleotides) under uncultured Glomeromycotina. Its description in RNAcentral is "SSU rRNA". It matches the Rfam family "Eukaryotic small subunit ribosomal RNA", at positions 362 to 1095 of the family's 1831-position model. The record is from RNAcentral. Lineage: Eukaryota; Fungi; Glomeromycota.